This 556-nucleotide ribosomal RNA is filed under the name Pseudomonas sp. Its description in RNAcentral is "bacterial SSU rRNA". It matches the Rfam family "Bacterial small subunit ribosomal RNA", at positions 76 to 628 of the family's 1533-position model. The record is from RNAcentral. Lineage: Bacteria; Pseudomonadati; Pseudomonadota; Gammaproteobacteria; Pseudomonadales; Pseudomonadaceae.
AAGCUUGCUUCUCUUGAGAGCGGCGGACGGGUGAGUAAUGCCUAGGAAUCUGCCUGGUAGUGGGGGAUAACGCUCGGAAACGGACGCUAAUACCGCAUACGUCCUACGGGAGAAAGCAGGGGACCUUCGGGCCUUGCGCUAUCAGAUGAGCCUAGGUCGGAUUAGCUAGUUGGUGAGGUAAUGGCUCACCAAGGCGACGAUCCGUAACUGGUCUGAGAGGAUGAUCAGUCACACUGGAACUGAGACACGGUCCAGACUCCUACGGGAGGCAGCAGUGGGGAAUAUUGGACAAUGGGCGAAAGCCUGAUCCAGCCAUGCCGCGUGUGUGAAGAAGGUCUUCGGAUUGUAAAGCACUUUAAGUUGGGAGGAAGGGCAGUAAAUUAAUACUUUGCUGUUUUGACGUUACCGACAGAAUAAGCACCGGCUAACUCUGUGCCAGCAGCCGCGGUAAUACAGAGGGUGCAAGCGUUAAUCGGAAUUACUGGGCGUAAAGCGCGCGUAGGUGGUUCGUUAAGUUGGAUGUGAAAUCCCCGGGCUCAACCUGGGAACUGCAUUC